GAUGAACGCUGGCGGCGUGCUUAACACAUGCAAGUCGAACGGAAAGGCCCAAGCUUGCUUGGGUACUCGAGUGGCGAACGGGUGAGUAACACGUGGGUGAUCUGCCCUGCACUUCGGGAUAAGCAUGGGAAACUGGGUCUAAUACCGGAUAGGACCACAUUUUGGACGGUGUGGUGGAAAGUUUUUCGGUGUGGGAUGAGCUCGCGGCCUAUCAGCUUGUUGGUGGGGUAAUGGCCUACCAAGGCGUCGACUGGUAGCCGGCCUGAGAGCGUGUACAGCCACAUUAGGACUAAGAUACGGAGCAGACUGCUACGGGAGGCAGCAGUGGGGAGUAUUACACAAUCGGCGCAAGCCUGAUGCAGAGACGCCGCGUGGGUGAUGACGGCCUUCGGGUUGUAAACACCUUUCGCUAGGGACGAAGCGCAAGUGACGGUACCUGGAGAAGAAGCACCGGCUAACUACGUG
RNAcentral lists this ribosomal RNA (465 nucleotides) under uncultured bacterium. RNAcentral describes it as "partial 16S ribosomal RNA". It matches the Rfam family "Bacterial small subunit ribosomal RNA", at positions 28 to 507 of the family's 1533-position model. The record is from RNAcentral.